CCGUGGCCGGCAGGAGUGGCGGUGACACCGGACGAGUGGGCUGCGCGCAAGCCUGGUGGUGGAAGACUGACCUGAGGGUCUGCCAUGAGGAGGAGGCAGGCUCCUGCGCAGAUUUUGUUUAUGAAGAAGAAAAAAAGAAAUACAGCACUGAGGGGAACAGUGCUUCCUUCUGCCUGCUUGCCUUGACUGUCGAAGCCCCCUCGCCAACUGCUCUAGCUGCUGGCUCCCCAGGAAUAGUGCCUGCCUCAAGCCAGAGGAAGCCCGUUUACUAUGUCAAUGGCAAGAACCUGCUCAUGUGGGCGUGUGAAAUGUGUCCUUGGAAAAGAAUGCUGCCCAUCCCAGGAAGUCUGAGAAGGCUUGAGUUCUCGCUGUAACUAAGAUCUGAUGAUGCUUUAUGGAUAACUUUACUCCCACAUGAAGCUAGCUGCCAGUUUCCGUAAUCUUCAUGGAGAAUCAAACCAAGAAAAGACUAAUUUGGAAAUAAUAUGCACAGGAGAGACUUCAUUUUUUUCUUUUGAAUAAAAGGAAGGAAGCAGUUUAGGUGACUACAGAGGAGAAAUCAAGAGGACCCUGGGCAAAGUCCUGGGCUUCUCCCACAACGUUAAUGGCAACUGUACAAUGUUUGCCAGGGAGGAAAACUAUAAAAGCUGCUAGCAGUGUUUUUUCUUUUUGGGGGGUGGAGGGACUCGUGAAAGAGGAAUAUAGAGAUUAAAUCUCCUCCUCCUGCACAAGACUCUUGCAGCCCAACAGGUCUAACACUCGAGACCUUAUUGUGAGCCCGAGUUUCCUCUUAGAAAAAGGGGAAAGUCCCAUUCCAGUUGACAGUAGCUCCCCUCCACCUGCUUCUGAUGGCCAUCUCCACUGGGGAGCAGCGUCUUCCUGGUCCCUGCUUAUCUUCAUGUUGGUCCCUUUCCCAGUGAUGGGCGUGCGUAUCUGCGGAAGGAACAUGAGACGUUUGCACCCAAGCCUGCUGCGUCAUUCCUGAGGAGGCCACUACAGAAGGAGGAAGCGGGGUGGCAGGAGUUGAGCUCUGCACCCUGUAAUCCAGAACUGGUUAAUUAAGUGGAGGGAGGUCCCCGCAGAUGCGAUGUGGAAGUGCCCCGUGUAAAGGAGCCAGUGACAACCUGGCUUGCUUGCA
Molecule: long non-coding RNA, 1138 nt
Filed under: Chinchilla lanigera (long-tailed chinchilla)
Lineage: Eukaryota; Metazoa; Chordata; Mammalia; Rodentia; Chinchillidae
Description: lncRNA (ENSCLAG00000027059.1)
Source: RNAcentral